AGGAUGCAGGAAUGCACAAGGUCCUGCCAUGGGAGAGUACUCAAGGAGCUCUUGAAAGACCUGUUGCCAGGACCAGUGACCUGGUGAUGGAAUGCUUAGAAGAGCGGGACAAGUACCUGAACUCCUGAAGGAGUGAAGAACACCUUCACUCCUCUUGUAGGCAUUUGGAUUCCUAAUCAUGCCUUUAUGCAAGACUUGGCCUAAGUGUUUGGGGAACCUGUUGUUCUCUCCAGUGCCAGCCUCAGCUCCCAGGCCAAUUCUCUGAAUGUUGAGGAGUCUCAAGACCUCUGGCUUUGAUUGUCCUCAUUCAUUGAUGCGGGACACAUCAGGGUUGGCCAGAGCCCUGAAUGUUGCCUGGGCUCCACUGCAGUUGACUUAUCUGUUCCUGGAAAGUUUGUCAUCAUCUGUGCCCUAAAGAGUACUACAGCCAUCUUUCAACAGAAGUAUGGGCUACUCCCCUCACACACGUCCUGCCUGUGA
This 480-nucleotide long non-coding RNA is filed under the name Homo sapiens (human). RNAcentral's name for it is "non-protein coding lnc-BACE2-3:1". The record is from RNAcentral. Lineage: Eukaryota; Metazoa; Chordata; Mammalia; Primates; Hominidae.